UUAUAUCAAAAAGCGGAGGAAAAGAAACCAACUGGGAUUACCUUAGUAACGGCGAGUGAAGCGGUAAAAGCUCAAAUUUGAAAUCUGGUACUUUCAGUGCCCGAGUUGUAAUUUGUAGAAUUUGUCUUUGAUUAGGUCCUUGUCUAUGUUCCUUGGAACAGGACGUCAUAGAGGGUGAGAAUCCCGUUUGGCGAGGAUACCUUUUCUCUGUAAGACUUUUUCGAAGAGUCGAGUUGUUUGGGAAUGCAGCUCAAAGUGGGUGGUAAAUUCCAUCUAAAGCUAAAUAUUGGCGAGAGACCGAUAGCGAACAAGUACAGUGAUGGAAAGAUGAAAAGAACUUUGAAAAGAGAGUGAAAAAGUACGUGAAAUUGUUGAAAGGGAAGGGCAUUUGAUCAGACAUGGUGUUUUUUGCAUGCACUCGCCUCUCGUGGGCUUGGGCCUCUCAAAAAUUUCACUGGGCCAACAUCAAUUCUGGCAGCAGGAUAAAUCAUUAAGAAUGUAGCUACUUCGGUAGUGUUAUAGCUUUUUGGAAUACUGUUAGCCGGGAUUGAGGACUGCGCUUCGGCAAGGAUGUUGGCAUAAUGGUUAAAUGCCGCCCGUCUUGAAACACGGACAUCA
RNAcentral lists this ribosomal RNA (618 nucleotides) under Hanseniaspora uvarum. RNAcentral's name for it is "eukaryotic LSU rRNA". It matches the Rfam family "Eukaryotic large subunit ribosomal RNA", at positions 38 to 664 of the family's 3401-position model. The record is from RNAcentral. Lineage: Eukaryota; Fungi; Ascomycota; Saccharomycetes; Saccharomycodales; Saccharomycodaceae.